This is a transfer RNA of Felis catus (domestic cat), 73 nucleotides long. It matches the Rfam family "tRNA". From Rfam's summary of the family: Transfer RNA (tRNA) molecules are approximately 80 nucleotides in length. Their secondary structure includes four short double-helical elements and three loops (D, anti-codon, and T loops). Lineage: Eukaryota; Metazoa; Chordata; Mammalia; Carnivora; Felidae. The record is from Rfam.
ACCUGGCUGGCUCAGUUGGUAGAGUGUGCAACUCUUGAUCUCAGGGUUGUGAGUUCAAGCCUCACGUUGGGUG